ACCAUCAUCUUUUAUUUACAUGAGUUCUCUCAUCUCUAUUUUUGGAGGCUGGGAGAUAAAUCAUGGACCAAAGAGAAUGAUAUAUAUGCCUCCUCUUAUACGAAAAUCCUCAGAUUCCAAGAGCAAUUCUAUGCUUUAAAUGAUAAAAUGCAUUUAGUGUGCUUCCAAGUUUGUCCAUUUCGGGUCGGAGAUUUGGAUGUGCC
Molecule: long non-coding RNA, 203 nt
Filed under: Musa acuminata (dwarf banana)
Lineage: Eukaryota; Viridiplantae; Streptophyta; Magnoliopsida; Zingiberales; Musaceae
Description: long non-coding RNA (MACU_LNC003118)
Source: RNAcentral